Molecule: long non-coding RNA, 413 nt
Organism: Oncorhynchus keta (chum salmon)
Lineage: Eukaryota; Metazoa; Chordata; Actinopteri; Salmoniformes; Salmonidae
Exons: 4
Source: RefSeq, a predicted model, not a curated record
GUGGUAACUGAGUAGUUCUGUCUUCAGGUCUAGGCUUUAGGAUGUGGUAACUGAGUAGUUCAUUCAUCCUUCAGAUCUAGGCUUUAGGACGUGGUAACUGAGUAGUUCUGUCUUCAGAUCUAGGCUUUAGGACGUGGUAACUGAGUAGUUCUGUCUUCAGAUCUAGGCUUUAGGACGUGGUAACUGAGUAGUUCUGUCUUCAGGUCUAGGCUUUAGGACGUGGUAACUGAGUAGUUCAUUCAUCCUUCAGAUCUAGGCUUUAGGACGUGGUAACUGAGUAGUUCUGUCUUCAGAUCUAGGCUUUAGGACGUGGUAACUGAGUAGUUCUGUCUUCAGGUCUAGGCUUUAGGACGUGGUAACUGAGUAGUUCUGUCUUCAGGUCUAGGCUUUAGGAUGUGGUAACUGAGUAGUUC